This 726-nucleotide ribosomal RNA is filed under the name Sarcocystis sp. Rod2. RNAcentral describes it as "partial large subunit ribosomal RNA". It matches the Rfam family "Eukaryotic large subunit ribosomal RNA", at positions 173 to 783 of the family's 3401-position model. Lineage: Eukaryota; Apicomplexa; Conoidasida; Eucoccidiorida; Sarcocystidae. The record is from RNAcentral.
GCGCAGGGAGAAGUUUCUUGGAAAAGAACAUCAGAGAGGGUGAGAGUCCCGUAUUUGCUCUGUGUCCUUAUGUUCCACGGACGGUACGCCUUUAUAGAGUCGCGUUCAUCGGGAUUUGAGCGCAAAAUGUGUGGUAAGUUUCACAUAAGGCUAAAUAUUGGCGCGAGACCGAUAGCAAACAAGUACCGUGAGGGAAAGAUGAAAAGUUCUUUGGAAAGAGAGUUAAAAGUGCCUGAAAUUGCUGAAAAGGAAGCGAUUGGAACCUUUUGGAAUCUAAUACGUGAAUCUCUUAUAGCAUCAAGCCCCUGAUUCUUUCACUUUUUAACAGGAGGGAAGGAUUAGGGUAAGGCUAUAGAUGUAAGGGACGAGAAUCGUAUUAGAGAGGUCAGCAUCAGUUAUGAAGGGGAGAUUAAGGGUGCAGAAGGUAGGUCCCCCGUGGGCUGCUUUAUAGAUGCAUCAUUUUAUUUACUUUCCUUUAUGACUGACGUGUACUUAUUGCAUGGAAUUUUCGGGCUACACUCUCUUUUGGGAGUACUCGAGUUCUGUGAUGCUGGCUGAAACGGUUUCAACCGACCCGUCUUGAAACACGGACCAAGGAGUCUAACAUAUGUGCGAGUAUGCGGGUGGCAAACCUGUAUGCGUAAUGAAAGUAAGAGUAGGGAAGAGGGUAACAUCUUUUUAAAAGGAUGUUAUGCUUUGCACCUACGACCGACCACGAUCUCAGAG